GACGAACGCUGGCGGCGUGCUUAACACAUGCCAGUCGAACGGAAAGGCCCUGCUUUUGUGGGGUGCUCGAGUGGCGAACGGGUGAGUAACACGUGAGUAACCUGCCCUUGACUUUGGGAUAACUUCAGGAAACUGGGGCUAAUACCGGAUAGGAGCUCCUGCUGCAUGGUGGGGGUUGGAAAGUUUCGGCGGUUGGGGAUGGACUCGCGGCUUAUCAGCUUGUUGGUGGGGUAGUGGCUUACCAAGGCUUUGACGGGUAGCCGGCCUGAGAGGGUGACCGGCCACAUGGGGACUGGGAUACGGCCCAGACUCCUACGGGAGGCAGCAGUGGGGAAUAUUGCACAAUGGGCGGAAGCCUGAUGCAGCAACGCCGCGUGCGGGAUGACGGCCUUCGGGUUGUAAACCGCUUUCGCCUGUGACGAAGCGUGAGUGACGGUAAUGGGUAAAGAAGCACCGGCUAACUACGUG
Molecule: ribosomal RNA, 468 nt
Filed under: uncultured bacterium
Lineage: Bacteria
Description: partial 16S ribosomal RNA
Rfam family: Bacterial small subunit ribosomal RNA
Source: RNAcentral